GCGAGGGUUGCCAAGCCAGGUCAAAGGCGCCAGGUUGAGGGCCUGGUCCCGCAGGAGUUCGUGAGUUCAAAUCUCACUCCUCGCA
This 85-nucleotide transfer RNA is filed under the name Methanoculleus sp. RNAcentral describes it as "tRNA-Leu". It matches the Rfam family "tRNA". Rfam says of the family: Transfer RNA (tRNA) molecules are approximately 80 nucleotides in length. Their secondary structure includes four short double-helical elements and three loops (D, anti-codon, and T loops). Further hydrogen bonds mediate the characteristic L-shaped molecular structure. tRNAs have two regions of fundamental functional importance: the anti-codon, which is responsible for specific mRNA codon recognition, and the 3' end, to which the tRNAs corresponding amino acid is attached (by aminoacyl-tRNA synthetases). tRNAs cope with the degeneracy of the genetic code in two manners: having more than one tRNA (with a specific anti-codon) for a particular amino acid; and 'wobble' base-pairing, i.e. permitting non-standard base-pairing at the 3rd anti-codon position. Lineage: Archaea; Methanobacteriati; Methanobacteriota; Methanomicrobia; Methanomicrobiales; Methanomicrobiaceae. The record is from RNAcentral.